RNAcentral lists this ribosomal RNA (253 nucleotides) under uncultured bacterium. RNAcentral's name for it is "partial 16S ribosomal RNA". It matches the Rfam family "Bacterial small subunit ribosomal RNA", at positions 524 to 776 of the family's 1533-position model. The record is from RNAcentral.
UACGUAGGGAGCAAGCGUUGUCCGGAAUCAUUGGGCGUAAAGCGCGCGUAGGUGGCUUCUUAAGUCCGUUGUGAAAGUCAAAGGCUCAACCUUUGAAAGCCGAUGGAUACUGCGGAGCUAGAGUACGGAAGAGGCGAGUGGAAUUCCUGGUGUAGCGGUGGAAUGCGCAGAUAUCAGGAGGAACACCAAUAGCGAAGGCAGCGCGCUGGGACGUUACUGACACUGAGGCGCGAAAGCGUGGGGAGCGAACAGG